UGCUUGUCUCAAAGAUUAAGCCAUGCAAGUCUAUGCACAAGCCGAGUACGGUGAAGCCGCGAAUGGCUCAUUACGACAGCCACCGUUUACCUGAUUCUUAUUAUCCCACUGGAUAACUGUGGUAAUUCUAGAGCUAAUACAUGCAACCAAGCUCCGACCGUAAGGGACGAGCGCAUUUAUUAGAACAAAACCAAUCGGGCUUCGGCCUGAGGUUUGGUGAAUCUGAAUAACUGAGCUGAUCGCAUGGUCUUUGUACCGGCGACGCAUCUUCAAGUGUCUGCCUUAUCAACUUUCGAUGGUGUUUAUGUGCCUACCAUGGUUGUAACGGGUAACGGAGAAUAAGGGUUCGACUCCGGAGAGGGAGCCUGAGAAACGGCUACCACAUCCRAGGAAGGCAGCAGGCA
This 404-nucleotide ribosomal RNA is filed under the name Nematoda environmental sample. Its description in RNAcentral is "SSU rRNA". It matches the Rfam family "Eukaryotic small subunit ribosomal RNA", at positions 29 to 436 of the family's 1831-position model. Lineage: Eukaryota; Metazoa; Nematoda. The record is from RNAcentral.